Molecule: long non-coding RNA, 1073 nt
Filed under: Zalophus californianus (California sea lion)
Lineage: Eukaryota; Metazoa; Chordata; Mammalia; Carnivora; Otariidae
Description: lncRNA (ENSZCAG00015008740.1)
Source: RNAcentral
CUCGGUUCUGGCACGACCCGCGGUCAGCGUCAGCCCCCAGCUCCGGGGCUCAGGCCCACGAGGCCACCCCCACUUUGGAUGCCGAUCACAAGGAGCGGGUCCUCAGGGGACCCCCAACUCCUACCUGACUUGGCUGCAACCCGGAGGUGCCCAUGACCCCCACCCCACCCCGGGAUUCCAUCAUUUGCUGGAACAGCUCCCAGAUUGUGAACAGUUACCGGUUUCUUACAUGAUAAAGAUGUGACAGAGGACACACAUGAACAGCCAGGUCGAGAGGCCCGUGGACGAGGUCUGGGAGGGUCCUGAGCACGAGAGCUUUGUCCCUGUGGACUUGGGGGGCGCCCUCCCUGCACAGGGAGGCCAGAACCCCCCACUAUUGGGGUUCCCGUGCAGGCUUUGUCAACCUGCCCCUCAGCGGACGGGGGCGGGACUGAAAAUUCUAGCCUUCUGGUCCAGGCUUCCUCUUUCCGGUGCCCAGCGCCCACCCGGGAGCCCACCCAGUCGCCGGCCUAGAACAAGGCCCGCUCCUGUCACCGGGAAGUUCCCACCCUUGUUGGAGCUCUGUCACACACUGGCCACUCAGGGACUUCAGAGGUCUGCUGCGCUGGGAAGUGGGGGCACAGAGCAACACGGGGGCAGAGAGGCAGAGGGAAGGUCCCCGAAGGGAUGUUCUCGAGGGAAAACCUGCUCUGCCGUGGAUCUCCAGGACGAGGCCCUGAACUGUGCACACAAUGCUGCUUGUUGUACCAGGCAGAACGUCAGGGGCUGUGGAGAAAGCGGUAGGAGCUGGCCCUACGAGGCACGGACAGGAUUUUAUUUCCGUAACUGUUACUUGUGGGGAACAAGGGUUCCCCAGGCCUCGUGGAGCUUGGACCCGGAGCGCCGGGCACAGGCAGAGGCAAGUGUCCCGUCCCAGCCUGUCCCGGGUCACAUGGGACCACACGGGCAGCGGGGGGCAUGGCCCAGGCCCCCCGAGACUGUAGCACGGACACGUGGAUCCUCAGUCAGGCGUCGGGAGGUAUGUUGGCUAUGAGUGUAUUGGUCAGGGUUCUCCCAAGACACAGAGCCGGUAG